Molecule: ribosomal RNA, 497 nt
Filed under: uncultured bacterium
Lineage: Bacteria
Description: partial 16S ribosomal RNA
Rfam family: Bacterial small subunit ribosomal RNA
Source: RNAcentral
GAUGAACGCUGGCGGCGUGCCUAAUACAUGCAAGUAGAACGCUGAAGGAAGGAGCUUGCUCUUUCCGGAUGAGUUGCGAACGGGUGAGUAACGCGUAGGUAACCUGCCUGGUAGCGGGGGAUAACUAUUGGAAACGAUAGCUAAUACCGCAUAACAGUGGAUGUUGCAUGAUAUCUACUUAAAAGGUGCAAUUGCACCACUACCAGAUGGACCUGCGUUGUAUUAGCUAGUUGGUGAGGUAACGGCUCACCAAGGCGACGAUACAUAGCCGACCUGAGAGGGUGAUCGGCCACACUGGGACUGAGACACGGCCCAGACUCCUACGGGAGGCAGCAGUAGGGAAUCUUCGGCAAUGGACGGAAGUCUGACCGAGCAACGCCGCGUGAGUGAAGAAGGUUUUCGGAUCGUAAAGCUCUGUUGUAAGAGAAGAACGAGUGUGAGAGUGGAAAGUUCACACUGUGACGGUAUCUUACCAGAAAGGGACGGCUAACUACGUG